UUGUGUGUGUGUGUGUGUGUGUGUGUGUGUGUAUUUCUACAAUUUUACAAUUUCAUUUAGCAGACGCUUUUGUCCAAAGCGACGUACAACAUAAGCAAGAAUUUAGAC
Sphaeramia orbicularis (orbiculate cardinalfish) is the source of this 108-nucleotide long non-coding RNA. RefSeq lists it as uncharacterized. The record is from RefSeq and is a predicted model, not a curated record. The transcript is spliced from 2 exons. NCBI's taxonomy places the organism in Eukaryota, Metazoa, Chordata, Actinopteri, Kurtiformes, Apogonidae.